GAAAAGAUGGCUGAAGAUUAGGCGAUAGAUUGUAAAUCUAUAUAUGAAGAUACCCUUCUCUUUUCA
RNAcentral lists this transfer RNA (66 nucleotides) under Alpheus randalli. RNAcentral's name for it is "tRNA-Tyr". It matches the Rfam family "tRNA". From Rfam's summary of the family: Transfer RNA (tRNA) molecules are approximately 80 nucleotides in length. Their secondary structure includes four short double-helical elements and three loops (D, anti-codon, and T loops). The record is from RNAcentral. Lineage: Eukaryota; Metazoa; Arthropoda; Malacostraca; Decapoda; Alpheidae.